RNAcentral lists this ribosomal RNA (792 nucleotides) under uncultured bacterium. RNAcentral describes it as "bacterial SSU rRNA". It matches the Rfam family "Bacterial small subunit ribosomal RNA", at positions 551 to 1341 of the family's 1533-position model. The record is from RNAcentral.
UUAUUGGGCGUAAAGAGCUCGUAGGCGGUUUGUCGCGUCUGCCGUGAAAGUCCGGGGCUUAACUCCGGAUCUGCGGUGGGUACGGGCAGACUAGAGUGCAGUAGGGGAGACUGGAAUUCCUGGUGUAGCGGUGAAAUGCGCAGAUAUCAGGAGGAACACCGAUGGCGAAGGCAGGUCUCUGGGCUGUAACUGACGCUGAGGAGCGAAAGCAUGGGGAGCGAACAGGACUAGAUACCCUGGUAGUCCAUGCCGUAAACGUUGGGCACUAGGUGUGGGGGACAUUCCACGUUUUCCGCGCCGUAGCUAACGCAUUAAGUGCCCCGCCUGGGGAGUACGGCCGCAAGGCUAAAACUCAAAGGAAUUGACGGGGGCCCGCACAAGCGGCGGAGCAUGCGGAUUAAUUCGAUGCAACGCGAAGAACCUUACCAAGGCUUGACAUGAACCGGAAUGAUGCAGAGAUGUGUCAGCCACUUGUGGCCGGUUUACAGGUGGUGCAUGGUUGUCGUCAGCUCGUGUCGUGAGAUGUUGGGUUAAGUCCCGCAACGAGCGCAACCCUCGUUCCAUGUUGCCAGCGGGUUAUGCCGGGGACUCAUGGGAGACUGCCGGGGUCAACUCGGAGGAAGGUGGGGACGACGUCAAAUCAUCAUGCCCCUUAUGUCUUGGGCUUCACGCAUGCUACAAUGGCUGGUACAAAGGGUUGCGAUACUGUGAGGUGGAGCUAAUCCCAAAAAGCCGGUCUCAGUUCGGAUUGAGGUCUGCAACUCGACCUCAUGAAGUUGGAGUCGCUAGUAA